This is a long non-coding RNA of Acipenser ruthenus (sterlet), 277 nucleotides long. RefSeq lists it as uncharacterized. The transcript has 3 exons. Lineage: Eukaryota; Metazoa; Chordata; Actinopteri; Acipenseriformes; Acipenseridae. The record is from RefSeq and is a predicted model, not a curated record.
GUGAAAUUCAACACCAAAAGAAUGCAUCAGUGAGGAGGGUCGACAGGAGACAAGCACUGAGGCCGGGAUUAGAAGACAACGUUGGGAAUUGAGUGGAGACCUUAGAACACGGGAACACAGAAAAAAAAUAUUCCACUUUCAACCACUGGAUCUGCUUCUGAAAAGACUGGAUUUCUGAGACCCUCAGAGAGACACCCCCAUUCCCCCUGAGGAGUGCUGCUGACGUACUGUGAUUAGGGAAUCCACGUCAUCCUGUGCUCUGUAACGUCAAUUAGUG